UUGAGUCAUGCCACUUUACGGCAAUGAUCAUACCAGCGUUGAUCAUACCCAGGGCCACAGCUGAGCAGGCACAAGAAGAAGAAGCUGAAGCAGAGAAGAUAGAGGUUGGAGAUGUGGCCUGAUAAUAGAGGCACAGUGUGGGAACUCGCAGAAAUACAGUUCUCAGGAAUCAGAACCUCUAGUUUGUCUGAAGAUCAGAGGGCAGAGCCAGCCACUAGUUAACCAUAGAGGUCUGGAGGUCUGUAUGGACAGACAGGAAGUGAGAUGGCUGGACAGAGAGAGCAAGUGAUACAGCGGGAGGAGACUUCUGCUGGGAAAUUGAGUAGGCAGGAAUUUGCACAUGGAGACCAAGUGGAGGGCCCCAGCCAAUGGCCUCGGCAUCCUUCUUGCUUGCUGAGUGCAUGUGCACGUCACCUUGUCACUGUGGGACCCACAAGUCAAUCGAGAAGGCGGGAUUCCAACUACUAUGAAAUACCCUAGUCAGCGCGACAGAUGAGAGCCUGAUUCCCCACAUUAAGCAAGUGUAACCUUUAACAAAAGCAUAAACCACAGAAGAGUUUGGUCUUCUUUCUUCUCAGAGUCAUCAGGGUUCAAUAAGACCAAGUGUUACUGUAUGUG
This 618-nucleotide long non-coding RNA is filed under the name Cricetulus griseus (Chinese hamster). RNAcentral describes it as "lncRNA (ENSCGRG00015039777.1)". Lineage: Eukaryota; Metazoa; Chordata; Mammalia; Rodentia; Cricetidae. The record is from RNAcentral.